Molecule: long non-coding RNA, 2232 nt
Filed under: Homo sapiens (human)
Lineage: Eukaryota; Metazoa; Chordata; Mammalia; Primates; Hominidae
Description: HSALNT0360745
Source: RNAcentral
AGGGUCUGAUCUCUGCACCCCGGGCCCCCGCGCAGACCCGCGGACGAGCGCUGGGUGGGGAUUUCAACCUGCUCCAGCUGAUGUGCGCGGGGUUUGCACCCCGGGGAGGCGAGGGAGAGAGUCCGGCCACGUCCUGCCAGGCCCCGCCCGCGCCCCCGCUGCCCUCCAGCGCGGAACCCAGGUCCCAGGAGACGCGAGGCGCCCAAGGCCCCGGGAUUCCGAGCCAGUCAACCCCGGGCCGCGACGCUCUGGGAACCACACCCGUCCAGGAAGGCACCUUGGCCAAAGCCGGCUCCUUCGCAGAUGACCCGGGCCAGGGUCCGAGCGCCAGGCUGUGACCCCGCGAGGCUGUUCCACGCUGGCCGCGAGAGACGGAGGGCAGGAGGGGCCCGAAUAGGACAGAGAGAGAGAGAGAGAGAGACAGAAGGAGGCGCACGCGCUCCCCAGGGACCGGGACGCGGUGGUGGGCGGGACCUCGCGGGGGUGGGGGGUGGUCGCAGGACCCAGAAGGCUCAGGACCUUUACGGAUAGGGAGGACCCCGCAGGGGGGAGCGGGGGAGCCCCACGCCCGGCGUCCUCCGGGUGCGAGGGUCUCGGGGAGUCCGAGCCCGGGCCCACGGCCUCUGUCCCGCGGCCACUACCUGCUGGGGGUCCCGGGCCUGGGCCACGCCGGGCUGCCCUCGGGGACUUGCUGCGGCCGUUGAGGGGUCUCCGCGCGCCGCGCAGACUCGCCUCCCAACCCGAGGGCCCGGGCGGCCGCCGCCCAGAGCGUCCAGCGGCAGCGUCUUGCUCUCGAAGGCGUCCUCCACGCAGCGGAACACGCAGCCAAGCUUGGGCCGGGCCAGAGGCCUCGCGGGCUCCUGAGGCUGCCGCGCGGUCACGGCAGGAGCGGGCGACAGAAUCCGGUCUCGGAGCCUCCUGUAGCGAGGUCUGCGCGGCAGGUGCACUGGGCGGACCUGGAGGCCGCGCCCUCCCCCCCCGCCUCCUGCCGCCCGGCAGCGCUGCGCGGAGCUGGCUCUGUCCACGUAGCGGGUGCUGAACGCCCCAUUCUGGCCCCUGGGUGCUCGCUUAGUCCCGGCCACGCGUGGCUGCUCGCCCUCGGGACACACUGGGCGCUGGGAAGGCCGGGCGGGGAGCGCGCACCGGAGAAACCGCUGUGGGAAUCCCGGCCACAUUUCCAGGCCCCUUGGGCCGUCCCACGCCAGACAAGAAAGCCCUGACUCCGAAACCCUGGGCGAGUGUGGAGGGCGCGCGGGGGUGGGGUGUACCCGCCCACGCAAACUGCUGCUGAUCUCCCUUAAAGCCGAGUUAGAGGCUUGGGGCGAGACAGGAGUGACGGGCGAUGCUGUCACUCCAUCUGUCAUUCUACCCAGCCUGCAGCAGCUGAAUUCGAACCCAGAGACUUCAGGCCUUUGCGUUGUUACCGCAGUCCGCAUUUCAAAGCCAGAGUUUGGCCACUGAGUCACCAUGACCUCGAGUACUGGCGGGGCCCGAGCCAGCAGAGCUAGGUCCAGCAGCUUCCCACCCCUUCGUCCUCCUCUGGGCUCCCCCUCCCCUAAAUGAUUAAUGCAAUGUCUGUUACUCACCUGUGUGGGACCGUCCACGGCAAAUAUCACCAACUGUUCUUAUGCACGUGCAGAAGUUCCGUCCCUUUCCUAACUGUCUGAUCUCUUCCAUGGUUCACAUUUGACCAACAGCCACAGGAGGGAGCCUCCCAGGUGGUCGACCGGAGCCAGGUGCUGCCAGGCACCCGACUGCAGAGCUUGCCCUCCAGGUGAUCUCGCAGUAUCGGUGUUCACAAGCCCUGUAAGGCACUCGGGGUAUCCUGAAGGCUACAGAUUCUGCAAGGGCAGAGACUUUAAGGAACAGCCAUAGUCCUUCUCCAGCUCAAAAUCUGGACCAUGGGCACAAGGUUGUCCCGGAACCAUCGAUCUCUAGAAGGUACAGGAGGAAGGGGACCUGCCAGUCCAGCCCUCAUAUUUUACAGAGGGAAAAGGUGAAGCCCCAUGUAAAACAGGGAUUUCCCUCGGUGACACUUCCAGGCUGAGAAGGGCCGGGGAUCUGGACACCUACCCAGAAACACUCCCACCCUGUCAAUGCCUCUCUGAAUUAUGUGAUCAACUGCCUGGAGUAUGAACUAGGCACAUGCAAAUAGAGAACAGAGGUCUUGUUGAAAAUAUGAUGCUGAAUUUUAAAAACUCACUCCCCAAAUUAAAGGAACAAGACCAGAGC